GCUUACGGCCAUACCACCCUGAACAUGCCCGAUCUCGUCCGAUCUCGAAGCUAAGCAGGGUCGGGCCGGUUAGUACUUGGAUGGGAGACCGCCUGGGAAUACCAGGUGCUGUAAGCU
RNAcentral lists this ribosomal RNA (117 nucleotides) under Labrus bergylta (ballan wrasse). The record is from RNAcentral. Lineage: Eukaryota; Metazoa; Chordata; Actinopteri; Labriformes; Labridae.